GUAGGUGGCAAGCGUUGUCCGGAAUUAUUGGGCGUAAAGCGCGCGCAGGCGGUUCUUUAAGUCUGAUGUGAAAGCCCACGGCUCAACCGUGGAGGGUCAUUGGAAACUGGAGAACUUGAGUACAAAAGAGGAAAGCGGAAUUCCACGUGUAGCGGUGAAAUGCGUAGAGAUGUGGAGGAACACCAGUGGCGAAGGCGGCUUUCUGGUCUGUAACUGACGCUGAGGCGCGAAAGCGUGGGGAGCAAACAGGGAUUAGAUACCCUGGUAGUCCACGCCGUAAACGAUGAGUGCUAAGUGUUAGGGGGUUUCCCGCCCCCUUAGUGCUGCAGCUAACGCAUUAAGCACUCCGCCUGGGGAGUACGGCCGCAAGGCUG
Molecule: ribosomal RNA, 374 nt
Filed under: uncultured organism
Description: partial 16S ribosomal RNA
Rfam family: Bacterial small subunit ribosomal RNA
Source: RNAcentral